Molecule: long non-coding RNA, 2504 nt
Organism: Ricinus communis (castor bean)
Lineage: Eukaryota; Viridiplantae; Streptophyta; Magnoliopsida; Malpighiales; Euphorbiaceae
Exons: 5
Source: RefSeq, a predicted model, not a curated record
AUAAAAGAAGGGAAACUUUUUUUUUCCUUUCUUCCUUCUUCCCUCCCCAUUCUCCUUUUUCUUCUUCUUUCUUUCUCCCACCCCUCCCCCGUCACCUUCCUUCUUGUCCUGUGCCUGCCACCACCUCCAGCCGCUGGCAACUCCCUCCUUUUCUCCUCCUCCCUUGCCCGUGCUGCCUUCUUUUCCUCCCCACUCGCUGCCGAUAUCAAGCUUGGAAAAGGAGUUGUUGUCGACGAAAUAACCUCCACCCGAGGCAUAAGAGCAGACUGCAAAAUGCGGUAAAACUGAUGAGGCGACAGUAGAACAUGUCACCUGAUGGGUUGCAUCAGGACCGCGUGUGAUGGAUUAAUCAGAGACAAGUAGUAAACUAUUAUUUUUAAAAUUUGCCUUGGUCGAGUACAACUCUCUAGGCUGUGAAAAUUUGACUGUCGGAGGAAGGUCUCUGGUUGAUUGUUGCUCUCUCGCGCCGACUUAUUUAGAAAGCAAGUGACCAAACUGGAUUUGAAGAUCCUGGUUGAGCUUCACAUUAUGGCGCCAGAACUAUUGGAAUAAGAGAGACGAAAGACUACUAGUAUUGGGGUUAUGUAUGAUGCUAUUGGUGUUAGACUUCAUGCUGGUCGCCAAGCUGAAUUUUUCUGCAGGAAUUUGAGGCUUUAGGCACAGUGUGAAGCUUAAAGUUUUCUGUUAAUUAAUUUCUAGCCGGUAAUAUGAAAGAACAAGAACAAGACCGUUGCCAACAAUCACAACCCACCGCUGAUGGACCUUCUUCUUCUGCUUCACCUUCACCUAGGCGACCACCAGCACCAGCAUCCCCACCACAACAGCAGCCGGUUCGAGAAAGAAGAGUAGCAGUUGCACAUCCACACACACUUGCUCGACAUCGCCUAUGGAUAUUCUAAAAUGCUGAUCAUGAGAGCCGCUUCCAAGUCAUGCGAUGGAAGCAAGUAACGGCCGGGCGAUUCAUUGAUUUUGUAUCCUUGGAGAAAGUUGCAUUGGCUCAGGAUGUUCGUGCACUAUUUGACACAUUGCCUUACGCACGCUUCUUCGAUAUCAUUGAGCCUACCUACCGUGAGCUAACCAUUGAGUUUCUAAGCACCUUCUUCCUACAACAGCAGAUCACAAACUGGCAUCAGCCUGAUGCAAUUUACUUUAGACUUGGAGGAAGGGAGUUCUCGAUGUCAGUUCCGUAGUUCGAGAUGCAUUUGGGUUUAUGGACUGAGCAGGAGAUCUCAGGCGAGGAAUAUCAGGGAUGCAUCUAUGUCCACCCCAUCUCUUACAACGCCAUGUGGGAUUCAAUCGUACUCGAGCCAGAACCGUACUAUCCCAGCAGGUCUAAGGCAUCUAGCCUUCCAGAUCAUCUUCGCUAUCUUCAUGCACUUUUAACUUACACCAUUAUGGGCAGAGGAAAUAGCUUUGGAGCGGUCAUAGAGACCGAUGUAUUUAUUCUUUGGGCUAUGCAACACCGUAAGAAGCUUAACAUGGGGUAUUUGGUUGCUUGUCAAGUACGAUCCUUCAUAGUCGACGCCCAGAACAAAAUGCAUUGUUGCUUUGGCCCAUAUGUGACUAGAUUGGCUAAGAGAUUGGGUGUACUGGACGACUGUCUAGCCGAUCUUUCUCAGAUUGGCGACAUUACACCAUUAGGGGUUAGACAUAUGAUCAACAUGUAGAUGGUCACGGCCAACCAACAUCCAUAUAGACUUGAGUACAGGCUUGUUAGUGCAAUAGUGAGAGAUGCUAGAGAGGCAGCAGUUAGAGGAGAUCAGGACCCUACUACCGAGAUUCCAGAUGUUAGGAUUCCUAACCCUGCUAGAGUAUUCAAGCCUUCACCUAGAGCUUAUUCUUCUUACUUUACAGGGACAUCGAGUGCUCAGAUUGGUGCUUUGGCUUACCGAUUAGAUCAAAUGUGUGAUUUACAGCAGGAUCACUAUACUGAGUUUGUACAGUACAGGAAGGAGUUUGGGCAGUUUCAGGAUGAUACUAGGGCACAACUCCAAGGGUUAACUAAUAUGCUCCAGCAGCUUAUGCAUGGAUUGGAUAGGCAGGCCACCUAAACGGACCUCAUGGCGGAGCAGACAUAAAAGAUGGCGGAUUCAGGAGCACAAUCUCACCGGUUCUUUGAUGACAUGGAGUUUGAUUUAGGAGGUUGUUUUAAGGAUCCUAUGCCAUUACCACCGCCACCUCCCUCAACGCCUUCCCUUUCUCCUUACCUUCCAGCCACUAAGGAUGUGCCUCCAACAGACUACCAGUAGUGAAAUCUUAUGUUCUAUUUCUUUUCCUUUUCCUUUUUAUUUUCUUUCUUUAUUUUUCUUUUGCAUUAUUUAUUUUAUUUUAUUUUUUUUUCAUCUUAUGUUCUUUUAUUUGAAUACUUUGCUUUACCCUUAUUAUAUGUAUAUUUGAUAUGAACUUCACUCCUAUUAUGUGUUAUCUAUGUUAUAUACCCACUCUUUCCAACACUGAGGACAAUGUUCAAUUCAAGUAUUUGGUGGGAAUCUGCGGUUUUAUUA